Molecule: ribosomal RNA, 92 nt
Filed under: Caerostris darwini
Lineage: Eukaryota; Metazoa; Arthropoda; Arachnida; Araneae; Araneidae
Source: RNAcentral
AACGGCCGUACCAUGCUGAAUAUACCGGUUCUCGUUAGAUCACCGAAGUCAAGCAUCAUUGGGCGCGGUCAGUACUUGGGUGGGUGAACACC